UGGGGAAUCUUCCGCAAUGGACGAAAGUCUGACGGAGCAACGCCGCGUGAGUGAAGAAGGUUUUCGGAUCGUAAAACUCUGUCUUUUGGGGCGAACGUGAGUAUGGUGAACAAUCAUAGUCAGUGACGGUACCAAAGGAGGAAGCCACGGCUAACUACGUGCCAGCAGCCGCGGUAAUACGUAGGUGGCAAGCGUUGUCCGGAAUUAUUGGGCGUAAAGAGCGCGUAGGCGGGAUAGUCAGUCUGUUGUAAAGUGCGGGGCUCAACCCCGUGAUCGCAAUGGAAACAGCUAUUCUUGAGUGCAGGAGAGGAAAGUGGAAUUCCCAGUGUAGCGGUGAAAUGCGUAGAUAUUGGGAGGAACACCAGUGGCGAAGGCGACUUUCUGGACUGUGUCUGACGCUGAGGCGCGAAAGCCAGGGGGAGCGAACGGGAUUUAGAUACCCCCGGUAGUCCUGGCCGUAAACGAUGGGGUACUAGUGUGGGAGGUAUCGACCCCCUUUCCGUGCCGGAGUUAANGCAAUAAGUACCCCCGCCUGGGGAGUACGGUCGCAAGACUGAAACUCAAAGGAAUUGACGGGGUCAUAGCUGUUUCCUG
RNAcentral lists this ribosomal RNA (594 nucleotides) under uncultured bacterium. RNAcentral describes it as "partial 16S ribosomal RNA". It matches the Rfam family "Bacterial small subunit ribosomal RNA", at positions 355 to 1376 of the family's 1533-position model. The record is from RNAcentral.